AGACAGCAACUCUACGCAAGACUGAUCGAUGUUGGAGGAGGCCAACCACCUAGAAUGCGUAUCAGCCGGCAACUAGGAGGCACGGGCGCUCACUAUACUCUCCUUUUUUGGAUUUCUAUGGAGCACUGCACUAUUUUAUCGCUGACGUCGAACGGAAAACUUGAAUAUGAGAUGCAAACAUGGAAUGAUCACGUUGGACGACACGUGCCUCGUUGUAUAGCUAAGUAUAAACAAUAUACUGCGAAGUUAUUUUCUCCCUACACCCGCCACUGCAUGCCCCAUCGACAAAUCCUGUUAUAUCCACGUAUACUAGA
This is a long non-coding RNA of Dermacentor silvarum, 314 nucleotides long. RefSeq lists it as uncharacterized. NCBI's taxonomy places the organism in Eukaryota, Metazoa, Arthropoda, Arachnida, Ixodida, Ixodidae. The record is from RefSeq and is a predicted model, not a curated record. The transcript is spliced from 3 exons.